Molecule: ribosomal RNA, 446 nt
Filed under: uncultured Bacteroidales bacterium
Lineage: Bacteria; Pseudomonadati; Bacteroidota; Bacteroidia; Bacteroidales
Description: bacterial SSU rRNA
Rfam family: Bacterial small subunit ribosomal RNA
Source: RNAcentral
UGCCGUCUACUCUUGGCCAGCCUUCUGAAAGGAAGAUUAAUCCAGGAUGGCAUCAUGAGUUCACAUGUCCGCAUGAUUAAAGGUAUUUUCCGGUAGACGAUGGGGAUGCGUUCCAUUAGAUAGUAGGCGGGGUAACGGCCCACCUAGUCAACGAUGGAUAGGGGUUCUGAGAGGAAGGUCCCCCACAUUGGAACUGAGACACGGUCCAAACUCCUACGGGAGGCAGCAGUGAGGAAUAUUGGUCAAUGGGCGAUGGCCUGAACCAGCCAAGUAGCGUGAAGGAUGACUGCCCUAUGGGUUGUAAACUUCUUUUAUAAAGGAAUAAAGUCGGGUAUGCAUACCCGUUUGCAUGUACUUUAUGAAUAAGGAUCGGCUAACUCCGUGCCAGCAGCCGCGGUAAUACGGAGGAUCCGAGCGUUAUCCGGAUUUAUUGGGUUUAAAGGGAG